Anolis carolinensis (green anole) is the source of this 1301-nucleotide long non-coding RNA. RefSeq lists it as uncharacterized. NCBI's taxonomy places the organism in Eukaryota, Metazoa, Chordata, Lepidosauria, Squamata, Anolidae. The record is from RefSeq and is a predicted model, not a curated record. The transcript has 2 exons.
CGUCCUCUGUAGGAAAACAUGACAAGAGCUUGGGAGGGACAAAUUGAGUCAGGACUGAUAACUCGCAUAUCAAUGGAGUGGUAAAUCCAUUCCAGAUUCUUGCUAGCUUAAAAUGAGCUCUCCAAGGUGCUGAGUUUAUUGGAGAGAGCCUUUAAGCCUGAAUUAAAACCUGGAAUGAAUUUCCUGUCCCACCUGCAUGAGAACCACUAGUUGCCACUGUGCGGAUCAUAUGUAGCUUUCCCUUCUUAAAAUGACUCAGAUUUUAUGUCUUCGUCAAACUUUCUUAAAUUUGUAUCUAGCCUCUCCACAAGCCAAUAUAGCCUGCAACAGUGUUCCUCAAACUCUGCUCCUCCAGGUGUUUUGAACUUCAGCUCCCAGAAAUCCCAACAUUGCAACAAGGAACAAACUACUUUUAAAAGGGAGAAAGUCAUGCUUCUUAAAAUGGAAGAGAAAAGCCCUCACUACAGGAGAGGGGUGGAUGGGAAGAUGGCUUUUUCUGAUAUGCUUUUUUGAAUUAUUUUCACUCCAUCUAAGUAAACAUCAUAGAAUUGUGUUUUGAAGCAGCCCCUAAGAACAUGAAAAUGGCUACUUACCAGCAGGCACUGGGAUGAAAUGAUGCUUGCUUUUCAUGCAACAGCAAGUAAUCACUGAGGCAAGAACGGCCAGAAGGAGAGCCCCACCAACACAUCCUGCCAGAAUGUACAGGAACAAUGGGUUCUGCAGUAGAUCCUCUGGGCGAAACAAAGAACCUAUUUAAAAGAAAGGAGGAGGAGGAGGAAGAGGAUUGUUGAGAACAAAAAGAGGAAAAAUAUUGUGAAAUAUCGAAUCCUAAAAAUCAAGCUUCAUCUCCUCUAGGAAAAGAAACUAACUGUGGUGCCACAUAGGCGUCUUGGGGCAAUUCAAAAUGGACUGACUGAACAUUUGAAUGAAAACAUCAUAGUGAGUACAAAAAGGAAAACUACUUUGCGCAUGCCACAUUACCUGACAAUACUACAUUGAUUUCUAGUUCUUGGAUAUAAUCCAAACUAUUCUUUUUUCAAAAUUCGAAUCAAUAAUAACUGGUAGAUUGCGGAACCAGGAAUUAAUUGGGUACUGUUUUUUUUAAAAAAAUGAAAAAGCUAAAGAAGACCUGAUGUUAAGAGUGUCAGACAAACAUCAGACAAAUUAAUAAGAAGCACAAAUAACAAUAGAAAGAAGAGAAAGAAUGAGGAACCUUGUUUUCAUUGUCAACCUGCUGGUCUGCUUCAGUUAAUAGUCUUGUAGAUGCAGCCAAUAAAAAGUCAUUAUUAUCCAGUCACUAA